RNAcentral lists this ribosomal RNA (646 nucleotides) under uncultured archaeon. RNAcentral's name for it is "bacterial SSU rRNA". It matches the Rfam family "Archaeal small subunit ribosomal RNA", at positions 5 to 638 of the family's 1478-position model. The record is from RNAcentral.
CGGUUGAUCCUGCCGGAGGCCGCUGCUAUCCGGCUGGGACUAAGCCAUGCGAGUCAAGGGGCUUGUAUCCCUUCGGGGAUACAAGCACCGGCGGACGGCUCAGUAACACGUGGACAACCUGCCCUCGGGUGGGGGAUAACCCCGGGAAACUGGGGCUAAUACCCCAUAGGGGAUGGGUACUGGAAUGUCCCAUCUCCGAAAGCGCUUAGCGCCCGAGGAUGGGUCUGCGGCGGAUUAGGUAGUUGGCGGGGUAACGGCCCGCCAAGCCGAAGAUCCGUACGGGCCAUGGGAGUGGGAGCCCGGAGAUGGACCCUGAGACACGGGUCCAGGCCCUACGGGGCGCAGCAGGCGCGAAACCUCCGCAAUGCGGGAAACCGCGACGGGGUCAGCCGGAGUGCUCGCGCAUCGCGCGGGCUGUCGGGGUGCCUAAAAAGCACCCCAUAGCAAGGGCCGGGCAAGGCCGGUGGCAGCCGCCGCGGUAAUACCGGCGGCCCGAGUGGCGGCCACUUUUAUUGGGCCUAAAGCGUCCGUAGCCGGGCUGGUAAGUCCUCCGGGAAAUCUGGCGGCUUAACCGUCAGACUGCCGGAGGAUACUGCCAGCCUAGGGACCGGGAAGGCCGGGGGUAUUCCCGGGGUAGGGGUGAAAU